Non-coding RNA from Meleagris gallopavo (turkey), 884 nucleotides. The record is from RefSeq and is a predicted model, not a curated record. Lineage: Eukaryota; Metazoa; Chordata; Aves; Galliformes; Phasianidae.
AGUUUUGGUAUACUGUGCUGGGAGAGCAUAGGCAGACAGAAACCCUUUGAAGGAGACAGCAAUUAAUGCAUGCAAAGGUUCAGAAGUAUACACAUUGCAGAUAGGCCUGCAGAACUCAGAGGCUGAACAACUGCCUGCCCAUCCUUCCCAGAACUGUGAUACAGCCUUGAAUUCCAAGAAAUAACUGCUUGCAAACAGUUUUGAAAGAAAGUUUCCAAGAAAAUUCUCCAUUUUAAUUUUUUUCAGGUCAUCUGUCAACAAAAACUCCGCCAGGUAAUGAGCAAGAAAAUCCCUCCUGUAGUACCAAGUUCAUCACCUAUUCUACUUGGUAGCAGUAGAAAUAUUGCAGGAAGAGAAAAUAUUCUUGAGGCUGAUCUGACAGGUCCUAUCGCACAGGACUCAACAAAGAAAAGUCUCUGCCUUCAAAUAUAUUCAGCUCCAACUAUACCAAGGAAAAUUACUACUAUUUGUUCCACAUACAUGUAUUUUUCAAGUAUAGUUGUCCAUUUUUAGAGCUUUGCUCUCUACUGGUAUCAUUCAAAGCAUGAGCUCACUGCAGAAGUGCUUUUUCUGUAUUCCUCAUACCUUUGGAAACAGAAGUUGAGCCACAGGAAAUCAAUUAACUUAUAAUAAUAUUUGCAUUUCCAAGCAUUUUACUUCUUAUCAAUAGCUGCCAGACUUAGAAUAGAAUUUUCUGGAACUUAUGAAACAAAUCCAUAUAGAAUUCCUGAAAAACACAGAAGCGUGCUGUAGUAUAUGACAAAAUCUUCCCAGGAAUAGUGUCCUAUUAUCAAGUGUCCAAAGAACAGCUAGUAAUAAAAAGGUGCUCUCGAGUUAGUCAGAUGAUAUAUGUUAUGUUCUGUUGCUGUUCAAUUUAAGGGUCU